AGUGAACGCUGGCGGUAGGCCUAACACAUGCAAGUCGAACGGCAGCACAGUAAGAGCUUGCUCUUACGGGUGGCGAGUGGCGGACGGGUGAGGAAUACAUCGGAAUCUACUUUUUCGUGGGGGAUAACGUAGGGAAACUUACGCUAAUACCGCAUACGACCUACGGGUGAAAGCAGGGGAUCUUCGGACCUUGCGCGAUUGAAUGAGCCGAUGUCGGAUUAGCUAGUUGGCGGGGUAAAGGCCCACCAAGGCGACGAUCCGUAGCUGGUCUGAGAGGAUGAUCAGCCACACUGGAACUGAGACACGGUCCAGACUCCUACGGGAGGCAGCAGUGGGGAAUAUUGGACAAAGGGCGCAAGCCUGAUCCAGCCAUACCGCGUGGGUGAAGAAGGCCUUCGGGUUGUAAAGCCCUUUUGUUGGGAAAGUAAAGCAGCAGGUUAAUACCCCGCUGUUCUGACGGUACCCAAAGAAUAAGCACCGGCUAACUUCGUG
This 492-nucleotide ribosomal RNA is filed under the name uncultured bacterium. RNAcentral's name for it is "partial 16S ribosomal RNA". It matches the Rfam family "Bacterial small subunit ribosomal RNA", at positions 29 to 507 of the family's 1533-position model. The record is from RNAcentral.